GCCAGCGCCGCGGGUGACUCCGCCUGGUUUCUGUCCCGGGUUCAAAAGCUACCUCGUCCGAACUUUUUUGCGCAUCCCCUGAAGCCUGCAGCGCGGGCGCCGCGUGUCCACCCGUGGCGCCCGUGCUCUCCCUCCCCCGGCCAGGAGCCCUUCGCUUCCCCCCUGCGGCUCCCAGAUGCUGGACCGUAACAGACGAGUGGCCUUCCAGGCACAGGGACGACCUCGGCCAACAGUGUCACAGGAGUCAGCCGCCAGUCCGUGAACCCUCCCGACUUCUCGGAGUAGGUGCUUCUCAGGACAUCAGAGCUCGAAGCCCUGGCCUCCGCGUGGGGGCACACGCCCCCCUGGACCCCUCCUCCUCGGUCAGCUCCAUCUGAGCUCUUCACCCUCAUUACACGCAGUCCUGCCCAGCUCACCUGGACAGCUGGCUCCACUGUCCUGCUCUCCACCCGCAGCGGAACCCAUCAGAGGCCUCGGGUCUGCGAUCCGUUUCGAGGUGGCCGUCGGUGUGAGGCGAGGUGGUGCGUGGCUGGCCAGGCCUGCGAGUUGAAGCCUCCCGUCCCCCUUGAUUCACUGGCCACUGUAGGGGCAUCUGCUGACCGUGCCUGUGCCUGCCUGUUCCCGACUCGGUUCUGUUCCAGGAACUGGUGGGCCCAUCCUUUGGUCCCUGCCACAUUGUCUAGAUUGAGAGCUGACGGAAGCCAGACAGGAAACCUACUGGGCAGGCCACAGCCGCUGGGCCGCUCUCCCACUGGGCCCUGAAAGCGGCCAGUGUGAAGGGCAAGUGAACGCCACGCUGCGUCCCAGUGACACUGUGCUCACAGAGACAGGCAGGGGCCACGUUUGCAGGCCCCCUGCUGACCCUGCCCCUGCAUGCACAGGGGCCAGGUUCUUGGUCUGCGUUACUGGUGGUCAGCGUGGAAUAAGGGAGGGUGGCUCUUCCCAUUUUGUUCUUUUUUCCUGGUUCUGGGUGGAACCCAGGCCCAACACAUGCUGAGCAAGCGCUCUACCGCAGAGCUGAGCCUUUAAUCAGAAUCGCACUGAAUUUAUGGGUCAGUUUGGGGAGAAGUUGACAGCUCAGCAGUGUUGAUUCCCUCAACCUUGAACCCUGCAUCAGUCAGCUUUCUGUUACUGUAACAAGUACCUGAA
Urocitellus parryii (Arctic ground squirrel) is the source of this 1149-nucleotide long non-coding RNA. RefSeq lists it as uncharacterized. NCBI's taxonomy places the organism in Eukaryota, Metazoa, Chordata, Mammalia, Rodentia, Sciuridae. The record is from RefSeq and is a predicted model, not a curated record.